RNAcentral lists this ribosomal RNA (307 nucleotides) under Oleidesulfovibrio alaskensis. RNAcentral's name for it is "bacterial SSU rRNA". It matches the Rfam family "Bacterial small subunit ribosomal RNA", at positions 1 to 308 of the family's 1533-position model. Lineage: Bacteria; Pseudomonadati; Thermodesulfobacteriota; Desulfovibrionia; Desulfovibrionales; Desulfovibrionaceae. The record is from RNAcentral.
UAACUGGAGAGUUUGAUUCUGGCUCAGAUUGAACGCUGGCGGCGUGCUUAACACAUGCAAGUCGUACGCGAAAGUCCCUUCGGGGAUGAGUAAAGUGGCGCACGGGUGAGUAACGCGUGGAUUAUCUACCUGCAUCACCGGAAUAACGGUUGGAAACGACUGCUAAUGCCGGAUAGUCUCGAAAGGGUAAAGGGGGCCUCUGCUUGCAAGCUUCCGGGUGCUGAUGAGUCCGCGUCUGAUUAGCUAGUUGGUGAGGUAAUGGCUCACCAAGGCAACGAUCAGUAGCAGGUUUGAGAGGAUGACCUGC